UCCUUAUGACUCGGUGUUGUGCCAAAGA
RNAcentral lists this non-coding RNA (28 nucleotides) under Rattus norvegicus (Norway rat). Lineage: Eukaryota; Metazoa; Chordata; Mammalia; Rodentia; Muridae. The record is from RNAcentral.